AGCUACUCCGAGUAGCCAAGGAAGACAUGCCUACGCUCAGCAUGACUCACCAAGAGACAGCAGCAAUCGACACAGGCAAGUCAUCCUUGGCUACCGAAUCAGCUCU
Setaria italica (foxtail millet) is the source of this 106-nucleotide non-coding RNA. The record is from Rfam. NCBI's taxonomy places the organism in Eukaryota, Viridiplantae, Streptophyta, Magnoliopsida, Poales, Poaceae.